Molecule: ribosomal RNA, 324 nt
Filed under: uncultured Bacillota bacterium
Lineage: Bacteria; Bacillati; Bacillota
Description: bacterial SSU rRNA
Rfam family: Bacterial small subunit ribosomal RNA
Source: RNAcentral
GACGAACGCUGGCGGCGUGCUUAACACAUGCAAGUCGAGCGAUGAAGCUCCUUCGGGAGUGGAUUAGCGGCGGACGGGUGAGUAACACGUGGGUAACCUGCCUCAUAGAGGGGAAUAGCCUUCCGAAAGGAAGAUUAAUACCGCAUAAGAUUGUAGUUUCGCAUGAAACAGCAAUUAAAGGAGUAAUCCGCUAUGAGAUGGACCCGCGUCGCAUUAGCUAGUUGGUGAGGUAACGGCUCACCAAGGCGACGAUGCGUAGCCGACCUGAGAGGGUGAUCGGCCACAUUGGGACUGAGACACGGCCCAGACUCCUACGGGUGGCUG